GUGCCAGCCGCCGCGGUAAUACGUAGGUGGCAAGCGUUGUCCGGAUUUAUUGGGUUUAAAGGGUGCGUAGGCGGCCCUGUAAGUCAGUGGUGAAAUACUCCAGCUUAACUGGAGGGGUGCCAUUGAUACUGCAGGGCUUGAGUACAGAUGAAGUAGGCGGAAUUGACGGUGUAGCGGUGAAAUGCAUAGAUAUCGUCAAGAACUCCGAUAGCGAAGGCAGCUUACUAAGCUGUAACUGACGCUGAGGCACGAAAGUGUGGGGAUCAAACAGGAUUAGAUACCCUAGUAGUCC
Molecule: ribosomal RNA, 292 nt
Filed under: uncultured bacterium
Lineage: Bacteria
Description: partial 16S ribosomal RNA
Rfam family: Bacterial small subunit ribosomal RNA
Source: RNAcentral